UACGGAAGGCAGCAGUGGGGAAUAUUGCACAAUGGGCGCAAGCCUGAUGCAGCCAUGCCGCGUGUAUGAAGAAGGCCUUCGGGUUGUAAAGUACUUUCAGUCGUGAGGAAGGUGUUAAGGUUAAUAACCUUAGCAAUUGACGUUAGCGACAGAAGAAGCACCGGCUAACUCCGUGCCAGCAGCCGCGGUAAUACGGAGGGUGCGAGCGUUAAUCGGAAUUACUGGGCGUAAAGGGCACGCAGGCGGUUAAUUAAGUUGGAUGUGAAUCCCCGGGCUUAACCUGGGAAUGGCAUUCAAGACUGGUUAGCUAGAGUCUUGUAGAGGGGGUAGAAUUCCAUGUGUAGCGGUGAAAUGCGUAGAGAUGUGGAGGAAUACCGGUGGCGAAGGCGGCCCCUGGACAAAGGCUGACGCUCAUGUGCGAAAGCGUGGGGAGCGAAACAGGAUUAGAUACC
Molecule: ribosomal RNA, 452 nt
Filed under: uncultured bacterium
Lineage: Bacteria
Description: bacterial SSU rRNA
Rfam family: Bacterial small subunit ribosomal RNA
Source: RNAcentral